Non-coding RNA from Echinops telfairi (small Madagascar hedgehog), 132 nucleotides. RefSeq annotates it as small Cajal body-specific RNA 24. The record is from RefSeq and is a predicted model, not a curated record. The transcript has a single exon. NCBI's taxonomy places the organism in Eukaryota, Metazoa, Chordata, Mammalia, Afrosoricida, Tenrecidae.
UGGAAAUUAAAAAAUAAAGUUUAAUAAAUUAUAAAAAUAAUUCUAAUCUUUGUAAACGUCCUAGAGAAAUAUAGUAGCUUUCUGUUCACCCUUUUCAAGUAAAAAGAUUGGAUCGUUCCACUACUGACACUU